GAUGAACGCUGGCGGCGUGCCUAAUACAUGCAAGUCGAGCGAACAGACGAGGAGCUUGCUCCUCUGACGUUAGCGGCGGACGGGUGAGUAACACGUGGAUAACCUACCUAUAAGACUGGGAUAACUUCGGGACACCGGAGCUAAUACCGGAUAAUAUAUUGAACCGCAUGGUUCAAUAGUGAAAGACGGUUUUGCUGUCACUUAUAGAUGGAUCCGCGCCGCAUUAGCUAGUUGGUAAGGUAACGGCUUACCAAGGCAACGAUGCGUAGCCGACCUGAGAGGGGGAUCGGCCACACGGGAACUGAGACACGGUCCAGACUCCUACGGGAGGCAGCAGUAGGGAAUCGUCCGCAAUGGGCGAAAGCCUGACGGAGCAACGCCGCGUGAGUGAUGAAGGUCUUCGGAUCGUAAAACUCUGUUAUUAGGGAAGAACAAAUGUGUAAGUAACUAUGCACGUCUUGACGGUACCUAAUCAGAAAGCCACGGCUAACUACGUG
This 497-nucleotide ribosomal RNA is filed under the name uncultured bacterium. RNAcentral's name for it is "partial 16S ribosomal RNA". It matches the Rfam family "Bacterial small subunit ribosomal RNA", at positions 28 to 507 of the family's 1533-position model. The record is from RNAcentral.